UAACAUAGUCUGGGUAGCCCUUGUAUACAUUAUAACAUAGUCUGGGUAGCCCUGGUAUAUGUUAUAACAUAUUCUGGGUAGCCCUGGUAUAUGCUAUAACAUAGUCUAGGUAGCCUUGUAUACAUUAUUACAUAGUCUGGGUAGCCCUGGUAUACACUAUAACAUAGUCUAGGUAGCCCUGGUAUACGUUAUAACAUAGUCUGGGUAGCCCUGGUAUAUGCUAUAACAUAGUCUAGGUAGCCCUUGUAUACAUUAUAACAUAUUCUGGGUAGCCCUGGUAUACGUUAUAACAUGUUCUGGGUAGCCCUGGUAUACACUAUAACAUAGUCUAGGUAGCCAUGGUAUACGUUAUAACAUAGUCUGGGUAGCCCUGGUAUACAUUAUAACAUAGUCUAGGUAGCCCUGGUAUAAGUUAUAACAUAGUCUGGGUAGCCCUGGUAUACGUUAUAACAUGUUCUGGGUAGCCCUGGUAUACACUAUAACAUAGUCUAGGUAGCCAUGGUAUACGUUAUAACAUAGUCUGGGUAGGCCUGGUAUACAUUAUAACAUAGUCUAGGUAGCCCUGGUAUACGUUUUAACAUAGUCUGGGUAGCCCUGGUAUAUGCUAUAACAUAGUCUAGGUGGCCCUUGUAUACAUUAUAACAUAUUCUGGGUAGCCCUUGUAUACAUUAUAACAUAGUCUAGGUAGCCCUGGUAUAAGUUAUAACAUAGUCAAGGUAGCCCUGGUAUACACUAUAACAUAUUCUGGGUAGUCCUGGUAUUCAUUAUAACAUAGUCUAGGUAGCCCUGGUAUAAGUUAUAACAUAGUCAAGGUAGCCCUGGUAUACACUAUAACAUAUUCUGGGUAGCCCUGGUAUAUGCUAUAACAUAGUCUAGGUAGCUCUUGUAUACAUUAUAACAUAUUCUGGGUAGCUCUGGUAUACGUUACAACAUAUUCUGGGUAGCCCUGGUAUAUGUUAUAACAUAGUCUGGGUAGCCCUGGUAUACGUUAUAACAUAUUCUGGGUAGCC
Molecule: long non-coding RNA, 1010 nt
Organism: Mizuhopecten yessoensis (Yesso scallop)
Lineage: Eukaryota; Metazoa; Mollusca; Bivalvia; Pectinida; Pectinidae
Exons: 3
Source: RefSeq, a predicted model, not a curated record